This 257-nucleotide small nuclear RNA is filed under the name Anolis carolinensis (green anole). Its description in RNAcentral is "7SK RNA". It matches the Rfam family "7SK RNA". From Rfam's summary of the family: 7SK was discovered as an abundant small nuclear RNA in the mid-70s but a possible function has only recently been suggested. Two independent studies have found that 7SK RNA binds the CDK9/cyclin T complex (known as elongation factor P-TEFb). Lineage: Eukaryota; Metazoa; Chordata; Lepidosauria; Squamata; Anolidae. The record is from Rfam by way of RNAcentral.
UGAUUCUAUGAUUCUAUGUGUGUCCCUCCUGAAGCUGCGUGCUCGGUGGAAGAAGACGACGUCCCAGGUAUAGAAGGAGUGUACCAAGGUCUCCAGUCUUCGGUCCCGGGUAUACGAUAGCUGCGCUCCCAUGCUAGAACCUCCAAACAAGCUCAAGGUUGCCAGCUAGAUGCUAUUUUCUAUCAAAAAAUAAAGGAAGCAAUGACUUAGUGCCAGGGAAAAUACAUAAAUGCAUUGCCAAACAACUGCAAUUUCAA